Mytilus trossulus (common blue mussel) is the source of this 1355-nucleotide long non-coding RNA. RefSeq lists it as uncharacterized. The record is from RefSeq and is a predicted model, not a curated record. The transcript is spliced from 7 exons. Lineage: Eukaryota; Metazoa; Mollusca; Bivalvia; Mytilida; Mytilidae.
UGUAAUAAUCAGCAUGCCUUGCAAUAUUUUGCAUUUCCUCAGUAAUGGCAAGAGUAUGAAAAGGAUUGAAAAACAUAAAACAAAUAUAAAUAAUGUGAAGCAACUAAUAUAAGAUUCAUGAUAUUGCUCAUUAUCUUCCAGAAUACUUUAAUAAUCUUUAACAUAUAAUGGCCAAAUAAAAUCUAUCAAAGAAUCUAUAACCAGAACUACAAAGAUUUUGUAGUCUUGCUUUAUAUUAACAUGCAUUUUAUUAUACAUGUACCCUAAAUAUUAAGGAGAGAUACAUAUUGAUUUGUAAGUUUGUUCAUCUGUACAUUUGUCUGUUUGUCCGUAAAAACAAGUUUUUAUGCUACAUAGCUAAAAAUAAAAAUGUGAGAAAAAAAAUCUAGCUAUUCUAUAAAAUUCCACAUAGUAUAAACAAUUUUUAAUAACACAGAGUUCAGAUUUUUUCUUUAUAUUUUAAAAAUGAAGGGAAAGUGAUGUAUGAAUCCUAUUUGAAAAAAGAUGUUAUUGUUACUUCACAGCGGGGUAAAGGGUUAAUGGACAAUACAAUGGCAGCAUAGUUUUGUCACAGUACUAGGCGCUGCAGCUAAAGAAAAUUGCAGAUUUUGUAAGGGAUCUACCACCAGAUUUACUGCACUGCUGAUAUUUGGGUGAGAUAUAUUUUUUGAUAUUGCUAUCCUCCAUGCUCAGUUGCUCCACAGAUUUACAGAAGGAAAACAUACAACUAGCCAUUAACAACACUGACUGGAAUGGUAUCCAUCACAAAUGUGGAAGUUCUUUUAUCUUCUACCAUAAAUCUAGUCAAAGGAAGGAUUUUAAAGCUGUUGUUCAGCUUGCUCCAUUUUUAGUGAAAAGGGGCUGGAUAUGAGCAGGUAGUACAACUUUAGUGUAUGCUAGCAGAGGUUUCCAGAGACCAUAAGAAAACAAAAAAUGCAGCACAAUUUGCAAACUGAAGACAAUAUAAGGAUGCUUGGUGUUCCAACUGAGUACACAAAAGAGUUAAUCCAGCAAGACAACAGUUGAGGAAAUAUGCCAUGCAGUAAUUCAGAGUUUUGUGUGUGGAAACCAAACUGAAAGUAAUGAUGGCUCCAAUUAUAUGUAUAAAGAGGAAGAAGUGAUAUAUUGUGAAAGAUCCUGGAAUGUUCAACUGUAUUUAGAAACUAUUGGAUAAAUACGGACAGAAUUUACACCUGAGAAGCCAGUAUCAUCUUUUCUUGCAAUUGGAAACUAUAUGUAAACUGCUGAAACUUGAGAACAACAUUAAAAGCCAAGAUCAACAAUACACAUGCCUUUGCUUUAUCUUUUACCUCUGACCUAAAUGACCAUAAUUUACAUCAUUUGGCAUUUGUUGU